GACGUAGGGCGCGAGCGUUGUCCGGAUUUAUUGGGCGUAAAGAGCUCGUAGGCGGCUUGUUGCGUCGACUGUGAAAACCCGCGGCUUAACUGCGGGCUUGCAGUUGAUACGGGCAGGCUAGAGUUCGGUAGGGGGAGACUGGAAUUCCGUGGUGUAGCGGUGAAAAUGCGCAGAUAUCAGAGGAACACCGGUGGCGAAGGCGGGUCUCUGGGCCGAAUACUGACGCUGAGGAGCGAAAGCGUGGGGAGCGAACAGG
Molecule: ribosomal RNA, 256 nt
Filed under: uncultured bacterium
Lineage: Bacteria
Description: partial 16S ribosomal RNA
Rfam family: Bacterial small subunit ribosomal RNA
Source: RNAcentral